This 243-nucleotide ribosomal RNA is filed under the name uncultured bacterium. RNAcentral's name for it is "partial 16S ribosomal RNA". It matches the Rfam family "Bacterial small subunit ribosomal RNA", at positions 534 to 776 of the family's 1533-position model. The record is from RNAcentral.
ACAAGCGUUAUCCGGAUUUACUGGGCGUAAAGCGCCCGUAGGCGGCUUUUUAAGUUGGACGUGAAAGCUCCCGGCUUAACUGGGAGAGGCCGUUCAAAACUGAGAGGCUAGAGUGAGGCAGAGGAGCGCGGAAUUCCCGGUGUAGUGGUGGAAUGCGUAGAUAUCGGGAGGAACACCAGUGGCGAAAGCGGCGCUCUGGGCCUAAACUGACGCUGAGGGGCGAAAGCGUGGGGAGCGAACGGG